CGUGUUCGAUGUUUGAACUUGGAUU
This 25-nucleotide microRNA is filed under the name Drosophila mojavensis. RNAcentral's name for it is "Dmo-Mir-973_5p* (star (passenger))". Lineage: Eukaryota; Metazoa; Arthropoda; Insecta; Diptera; Drosophilidae. The record is from RNAcentral.